CCGGGUGAGUAACACGUGACUAACCUACCCUAGAGUGGGGAAUAACCUCGGGAAACCGGGGCUAAUAUCGCAUAACAUCACGAGGUGUAAAUUCCUAGUGAUCAAAGGAGCAAUUCGCUCAAUGAGGGGGUCGCGGCUGAUUAGUUAGUUGGUGAGGUAACGGCUCACCAAGACUUAGAUCAGUAUCCGGCCUGAGAGGGCGCACGGACACACUGGAACUGAAACACGGUCCAG
RNAcentral lists this ribosomal RNA (234 nucleotides) under uncultured bacterium. RNAcentral describes it as "partial 16S ribosomal RNA". It matches the Rfam family "Bacterial small subunit ribosomal RNA", at positions 103 to 334 of the family's 1533-position model. The record is from RNAcentral.